Molecule: ribosomal RNA, 271 nt
Filed under: uncultured prokaryote
Description: partial 16S ribosomal RNA
Rfam family: Bacterial small subunit ribosomal RNA
Source: RNAcentral
UACGGAGGAUCCGAGCGUUAUCCGGAUUUAUUGGGUUUAAAGGGUGCGCAGGCGGGAGAUUAAGUCGGUGGUGAAAUUUUGCAGCUCAACUGUAAAAGUGCCUUCGAAACUGGUUUCCUUGAGUGUAGAUGAAGUAGGCGGAAUUUGUGGUGUAGCGGUGAAAUGCAUAGAUAUCACGAGGAACUCCGAUUGCGCAGGCAGCUUACUAAACUACUACUGACGCUCAGGCACGAAGGCGUGGGGAUCAAACAGGAUUAGAUACCCGUGUAGU